AUUGAACGCUGGCGGCAGGCCUAACACAUGCAAGUCGAGCGAGCGGCGGACGGGUGAGUAAUGUCUGGGAAACUGCCUGAUGGAGGGGGAUAACUACUGGAAACGGUAGCUAAUACCGCAUACCAUCAGAUGUGCCCAGAUGGGAUUAGCUAGUAGGUGGGGUAAUGGCUCACCUAGGCGACGAUCCCUAGCUGGUCUGAGAGGAUGACCAGCCACACUGGAACUGAGACACGGUCCAGACUCCUACGGGAGGCAGCAGUGGGGAGUAUGGCGCAAUGGGGGGAAGCCUGAUGCAGCCAUGCCGCGUGUGUGAGGAAGGCAUUCGGGUGGUAAAGCACUUUCAGCGAGGAGGCGUUACUCGCAGAGGAAGCACCGGCUAAAUCCGUGCCAGCCGCCGCGGUAAUUC
Molecule: ribosomal RNA, 406 nt
Filed under: uncultured bacterium
Lineage: Bacteria
Description: partial 16S ribosomal RNA
Rfam family: Bacterial small subunit ribosomal RNA
Source: RNAcentral